This 253-nucleotide ribosomal RNA is filed under the name uncultured bacterium. RNAcentral's name for it is "partial 16S ribosomal RNA". It matches the Rfam family "Bacterial small subunit ribosomal RNA", at positions 524 to 776 of the family's 1533-position model. The record is from RNAcentral.
GACGAACCGAGCGAACGUUAUUCGGAAUCACUGGGCUUAAAGGGCGCGUAGGCGGGCCGUCAAGUCAGGGGUGAAAGCCCCCAGCUCAACUGGGGAAGUGCAUCUGAUACUGGCGGCCUCGAGGGAGGUAGGGGCGUGCGGAACUUCCGGUGGAGCGGUGAAAUGCGUAGAUAUCGGAAGGAACACCGGUGGCGAAAGCGGCGCGCUGGACCUCUUCUGACGCUGAGGCGCGAAAGCCAGGGGAGCGAACGGG